Molecule: ribosomal RNA, 467 nt
Filed under: bacterium BSD64-1-1
Lineage: Bacteria
Description: bacterial SSU rRNA
Rfam family: Bacterial small subunit ribosomal RNA
Source: RNAcentral
CAGUCGAGCGAUGGAUUAAGAGCUUGCUCUUAUGAAGUUAGCGGCGGACGGGUGAGUAACACGUGGGUAACCUGCCCAUAAGACUGGGAUAACUCCGGGAAACCGGGGCUAAUACCGGAUAACAUUUUGAACCGCAUGGUUCGAAAUUGAAAGGCGGCUUCGGCUGUCACUUAUGGAUGGACCCGCGUCGCAUUAGCUAGUUGGUGAGGUAACGGCUCACCAAGGCAACGAUGCGUAGCCGACCUGAGAGGGUGAUCGGCCACACUGGGACUGAGACACGGCCCAGACUCCUACGGGAGGCAGCAGUAGGGAAUCUUCCGCAAUGGACGAAAGUCUGACGGAGCAACGCCGCGUGAGUGAUGAAGGCUUUCGGGUCGUAAAACUCUGUUGUUAGGGAAGAACAAGUGCUAGUUGAAUAAGCUGGCACCUUGACGGUACCUAACCAGAAAGCCACGGCUAACUACGUG